CCUACGGGAGGCUGCAGUGGGGAAUAUUGGACAAUGGGCGAAAGCCUGAUCCAGCCAUGCCGCGUGUGUGAAGAAGGUCUUCGGAUUGUAAAGCACUUUAAGUUGGGAGGAAGGGCAGUAAAUUAAUACUUUGCUGUUUUGACGUUACCGACAGAAUAAGCACCGGCUAACUCUGUGCCAGCAGCCGCGGUAAUACAGAGGGUGCAAGCGUUAAUCGGAAUUACUGGGCGUAAAGCGCGCGUAGGUGGUUCGUUAAGUUGGAUGUGAAAUCCCCGGGCUCAACCUGGGAACUGCAUUCAAAACUGACGAGCUAGAGUAUGGUAGAGGGUGGUGGAAUUUCCUGUGUAGCGGUGAAAUGCGUAGAUAUAGGAAGGAACACCAGUGGCGAAGGCGACCACCUGGACUGAUACUGACACUGAGGUGCGAAAGCGUGGGGAGCAAACAGGAUUAGAUACCCCGGUAGUC
RNAcentral lists this ribosomal RNA (465 nucleotides) under uncultured Pseudomonas sp. Its description in RNAcentral is "bacterial SSU rRNA". It matches the Rfam family "Bacterial small subunit ribosomal RNA", at positions 338 to 795 of the family's 1533-position model. The record is from RNAcentral. Lineage: Bacteria; Pseudomonadati; Pseudomonadota; Gammaproteobacteria; Pseudomonadales; Pseudomonadaceae.